Triticum urartu is the source of this 2449-nucleotide long non-coding RNA. RefSeq lists it as uncharacterized. The record is from RefSeq and is a predicted model, not a curated record. Lineage: Eukaryota; Viridiplantae; Streptophyta; Magnoliopsida; Poales; Poaceae.
UCGCACGUCUCGCAACAAGUGGGCCGGCUGUCCUAUGGGGACGCUACUCCCGUAGCCAAAUUGAAGUGCGCUGGUUGAUUGGGCCAUCCGGCUGAUUCGGCCUCACCAGAAAGAAGCCCAUCUCAGUGAACAAAUAAACAUGACGUCUCUCUCUCUCUCUCGAUCGGGAACCCUGGUCAGUCGACCCCAUCACCGUAGCCGCCGCCUCCCAUGCCAUAGUCACCUCCCGUCCGUCAUCCCCAGUCCUCUUCGCGCGGUGGGAUUGAGCCCACGGUGUGCUGCUGCGCCGCCGCCGUGCGUCGCCAUCUUCACAUCGCCGCACCUUUUCCUUCCAAAUUCGUUUCCUCGGGUGACCCAUGCGUCCCCUAGGUGAGAUGCCGAUGCCGAUGCCGCUGCGACUUCCCUUCCGUCUGGAUCGCAGUCCCUUUGAGCGCCUUCAUCCGUCCCCUCGAAUCUCGCAAGGCGGUCGUUCCGGCGCCUGCGGAUGUCCCCGUUCUUUGGCGCAAAUUUGGGUUGAUGUGUGUGUUCCUAUGACGGCAGCUUGUUUGGGCUACGAUUUUCAGGGGCAAUCCAUCGCGUCCCGAUGAUGCGGCGAGGCGUAUGUGGGUGUUAGUCCCAGCCUCCCAGGUUUUGAUCGGUUUUGGUGAGGGAAAUUUGUCUAAGGAGAUUUGGAUAUGAUUUAGGUAUAAGGACUGUUCGGGGACAUCGGUUGCUGAAUCUCAACUCUCAAGUCGUAGUUCCUGUUGUCAGAUUUGCAGCUGGAGAGGACACACGGCUCUGACCUUGUGCAAAACAUUCUUGAUGGCUAUGGAAAAGUAGAAAGGAAAACCACUUUUCUGCAGGAUUUUAAAUAUUUUUUUAUCCUGAAUCUGGGGUUUUCAUGUUUUAAGCAGCAAUUUAUGUUUGAUUGCUCGCUGGUAGAUUGUGGGAUUUCAUGUGAGAUUCAUAGUAUAAAAAUGUGCUGGUACAGAUACAAUGUGCAGCAAUUUAUGUUUGUACUAACCAAUGAUGUUGUGGAUUUUGUUUGGCAUGUAAGUAUGUGUUAGGAAGUGUAUGGGGAGAAAGGAUGCCAGAGUUGCGUAGUGGAGUCCGACAAUCUCGGUUGAAGUCAAGGAAAGUAGCAGUGACUACCACGACUAGACAUCACGUCCAGCGGCGAUCUGCAAGAACCAGCAUCCCUGUGUGUGCUACUGUCCAAGACAGCGUCACCCUUUUACACUAUGUCCACUCCGGUCGUUCCUCCACUACAGGUACAACUCGUCUCUCCCUUAUGCAACAUGACUAGGCUGGAGUUAGGUGUCAUGGCUUCAGAUCAACAAGACAUGGCUUAGCUCUAACAUGAUACAAUGAGCCGACACAGACUGUAGAUACACUCCAAAAAUAUCAAAAUGUUGAAUCGUAUUAUAUUCAUAGUACAUGUAAUUCUAUACAUUGUAUUGUACGUCUGUGAAGUUUAUUGAAAAAUUGGAGAAGAAAGAAAAUAAAGCGCUUUUUGUUUAGCUUAACAGAGAAAGACUGAAAGACAUUUCAUUUCUUUCACAAGAAUGGAUGUCUAAGUGUCUUGUGCAUCGGAUUCCAAGGAGAAAUCACAUCCUGAAAAUGUUAAGAAUCAAUUGUCUAACCAGGUUAACUAACCAGCAUUUCUCUUUUUAUUCUAUGUAUUCAUUACUCAUUUUUAGUCACUCUCUUCAUCUCCUGAAGUUAUUAUAGGAACAAAUAUCUUUUUGAUAUCUUGUGCCAAAACCAUAUUUGAAGUUGGCAUGCACACCAAGGAUGAUUAUAUGCCUCUUUAAGUCAUCCACAGUCACAUUCUUGAUUCUUGUCUUGGCUCUAACUUGGGUAAAGACUGGAAUAUCAUCUUUGAAAAUGAUGUUAGUCAGAACGAGAAUAACUCUGUACACAUGGUGGCAGCUGCGCACGGCCCCAAUUUUAUCUCUAAUUAUUUUGGUAAAUUAUUUUGGACCCUGGGAAUAACUCUCAAACGAAAAUGAAGUUUGCUCACCUUGCUGGGACAAUGGGAGGUUUGCUCACCUUGCAAAAGUAAAGGCAUUGAAGAAAUUUGUAAGAUUAUAUAUUCAUCUUCAAGCAUGGAGGAAGGCUUGGCAUGAAGGAUGCCACUUAUAAGGUGCAAGGCAGGAGGGCUUAACUACUUAACUAGCGAGGUUUAUUUAUUUACUAUGCAUGUUGUUUCAGAUGAUUUUGCUAGAUGGUAUAUAAUUUUACUAUCUUAAUGUAUCGAAUGCAUCCAUACUUCCAUGAGUUCCAUCAAAAGAACCAUAUUGGGUAGACACGUUCCCAAGUGACAAGCACAACUCAUGGAAGAAACAAAAGAUCCAAGCUAGGAAGGCACGUUUCGAAGGUACAAGCUCAAGUGAUGGAAGUAUUGUUGUUGGGGAUUGCAAAAUACAUGUAUCUGGAUGUGAUGUUGAUGAAAGGUGUUAAAACUGCU